CGGCGGUAUCCCUGAACAGGAAAGAUCAACUGUCCAAGCAGAGUCCGAGUCCGAGGCCGUGGUUCUGUUUUGAAAUGUUGGAGCAGGACAAACAUGGCUGCCAUGGACCAACCGUCGCUCUUUAACUAAAGAGGGAGGCUCAGUGCAGGAACUGCACAGCAAAACAAACUGCAAGAACCCGUGAUGCUGGAGCUCAAACGCCCAGAGACAGACAACAGGAAGCUCCCUGGACCGGAUCGCCACGGGACUCUGUGA
Molecule: long non-coding RNA, 255 nt
Organism: Gambusia affinis (western mosquitofish)
Lineage: Eukaryota; Metazoa; Chordata; Actinopteri; Cyprinodontiformes; Poeciliidae
Exons: 3
Source: RefSeq, a predicted model, not a curated record